GUUGGGAAAUGUGUCCCAAAAAGCCAAUCGUCAAGCUGUUGACGGUUGAGCAACCAAGUAUUGUAAUUGAUUUGUUAAUAAAUAAAAUAUAUUUGGCAUCUUCAUCAUAAGCUUUCAUCUUCUAAUGAACUCCAUUGUUAUGAUGAAGUCCUUAGGACUAUUUAGGUUCGAUAAAGAGAGAAUUUAUCGAUUAGUCCUUAAAACUGUUCACGACCAAAUGAUAGGCUGUUAAUAAGGACGACAGCUUCUAUCGAGCAUAGGUCGUUGUAGGCCAUAUGGGUUGGUUGUCCUCUUAACCAAAGAGUGUGGAGACACUGGUAUGGCAUACAG
This 330-nucleotide long non-coding RNA is filed under the name Elaeis guineensis (African oil palm). Its description in RNAcentral is "long non-coding RNA (EGUI_LNC077099)". The record is from RNAcentral. Lineage: Eukaryota; Viridiplantae; Streptophyta; Magnoliopsida; Arecales; Arecaceae.